RNAcentral lists this ribosomal RNA (465 nucleotides) under uncultured bacterium. RNAcentral describes it as "partial 16S ribosomal RNA". It matches the Rfam family "Bacterial small subunit ribosomal RNA", at positions 28 to 507 of the family's 1533-position model. The record is from RNAcentral.
GACGAACGCUGGCGGCGUGCUUAACACAUGCAAGUCGAACGGAAAGGCCCUGCUUGCAGGGUACUCGAGUGGCGAACGGGUGAGUAACACGUGGGUGAUCUGCCCUGCACUUCGGGAUAAGCCUGGGAAACUGGGUCUAAUACCGGAUAGGAGCCAUUUUUAGUGUGAUGGUUGGAAAGUUUUUUCGGUGUAGGAUGAGCUCGCGGCCUAUCAGCUUGUUGGUGGGGUAAUGGCCUACCAAGGCGGCGACGGGUAGCCGGCCUGAGAGGGUGGACGGCCACAUUGGGACUGAGAUACGGCCCAGACUCCAACGGGAGGCAGCAGUGGGGAAUAUUGAACAAUGGGCGGAAGCCUGAUGCAGCGACGCCGCGUGGGGGAUGACGGCCUUCGGGUUGUAAACUCCUUUCGCUAGGGACGAAGCUUUUUGUGACGGUACCUAGAUAAGAAGCACCGGCUAACUACGUG